GUCCUCUUGAUUUAGAUUUGAGGUUUAACCUGCCCACUGAAAUAUUUAAAUGGCCGCAGUAAUUUGACUGUGCAAAGGUAGCAUAAUCAUUAGUUUUUUAAUUAAAAGCUUGUAUGAAGGGUUGGACGAGGUAAAAUCUGUCUCUAUUUAAUUUAUAGUAAAAUUUAAUUUUUAAGUUAAAAAGCUUAAAUUUUUUUAAAAGACGAGAAGACCCUAUAGAUCUUUAUAUUAUUUAAAUUAAUUUUAAUAUAGAAUUUUUUAUUUUUUAAUUUAAAUAAUAUUUUAUUGGGGUAAUAAAAAGAUUAAAAAAAUUCUUUUUUUAAUACACAUUAAUAUAUGAAUAAGUGAUCCAAUUUUUUUGAUUUAAAGAUUAAGUUACCUUAGGGAUAACAGCGUAAUUUUUUUAGAGAGUUCAUAUCGAUAAAAAAGUUUGCGA
Molecule: ribosomal RNA, 436 nt
Filed under: Graphoderus perplexus
Lineage: Eukaryota; Metazoa; Arthropoda; Insecta; Coleoptera; Dytiscidae
Description: partial 16S ribosomal RNA
Source: RNAcentral